Molecule: microRNA precursor, 84 nt
Filed under: Bombyx mori (domestic silkworm)
Lineage: Eukaryota; Metazoa; Arthropoda; Insecta; Lepidoptera; Bombycidae
Description: mir-2807 microRNA precursor family
Rfam family: mir-2807 microRNA precursor family
Source: Rfam by way of RNAcentral
UUAACUCAAAUUUGUAUGGAGUUGGAACGUUUGCCUACGUUUGCCGCUAGGGGCGCUGUUCCAACUGCAUACAAAAUUGGCUUA